AUGUUCCGGCGCAGCGGCGGUGGCGGUGUCAGGGGCAAGACGGCGGCUGCGAGCACCAGCACGGGCACUGAGCUGCCCGUCGAUGGAGCUGUGCGGGUGACGAAAGUGGACAAGAUCCAGGCUUACAAUCUCGUCUCGAGGCCGUCGGUGCACCACGCCAUCGUGCCGGCGACGUCGGGGCCGGCGGAGAGCCUCGCCGUCAGUGUUGUCCGGGUGGUGGACGUCGUGGACGAAGCUGUGCGGGUGACCAAAGUGGACAGGAUCCAGGCUUACAAUCUCGUCUCCAGGCCGUCGGUGCACCACGCCAUCUCGCCGGCGACGUCAGGGCCGGCGGAGAGCCUGGCCGUGAGGGUAGUCCGGUUCGGGGACGUCGUGGACGAAGAAUCCGACGGCCUCAUCUCGGUGACCAUCACAUAG
Molecule: ribosomal RNA, 417 nt
Filed under: Triticum aestivum (bread wheat)
Lineage: Eukaryota; Viridiplantae; Streptophyta; Magnoliopsida; Poales; Poaceae
Description: partial small subunit ribosomal RNA
Source: RNAcentral